CCUACGGGAGGCAGCAGUGAGGAAUAUUGGUCAAUGGGCGCGAGCCUGAACCAGCCAAGUAGCGUGAAGGAUGACUGCCCUACGGGUUGUAAACUUCUUUUAUAAAGGAAUAAAGUGAGGCACGUGUGCCUUUUUGUAUGUACGUUAUGAAUAAGGAUCGGCUAACGCCGUGCCAGCAGCCUCGGUAAUACGGAGGAUCCGAGCGUUAUGCGGAUUGAUUGGGUUUAAAGGGAGCGUAGAUGGGUUGUUAAGUCAGUUGUGAAAGUUUGCGGCUCAACCGUAAAAUUGCAAUUGAUACUGGCAGUCUUGCUUACAGUUGCGGUAGGCGGCAUUCGUGUUGUAGCGGU
Molecule: ribosomal RNA, 347 nt
Filed under: uncultured bacterium
Lineage: Bacteria
Description: partial 16S ribosomal RNA
Rfam family: Bacterial small subunit ribosomal RNA
Source: RNAcentral